GAUGUGUAGUGGUAUUGUGGUGGACCUUUACUAGGCAUUCUGCCUAAUAACUAGAGUGGCACUUGUGCUUUAGUCCAUUUGGCUAUCCCUUUCACCCUGGCAUUUUAUUAACCAGAGAAAAGAAAAAAAUAAAAUAAUAAGACAUCAUAAAGCUAGAGAAGCCCUUUGUAGGUCUUUCAACUCUCACAUCUAUUUAGAUGCAAUUGGAGCCCCACAAGGAAUGUCAGAUCAAUUUAAAGCUUGAAAUCAAAUAGUUACAGGAUUUAAGUCAGUAUUUUGGUAGAUGACAGUCAAUAAAAAUGUAGAUUAGAUAAACCACAUCUAUUGAAACCAACAGCAACGGGCUUUUCAUGAGUUAAAAAGAAAAACUCAUGUCGGCCUCAGCCCUGAGGCUACCUGACCUGACAAAACUCUUUACACUCUAUGUGUCAGAAAGAGAAAAAAUAGCAGUUGGAGAUUUAACCCAGACUGUAGGGCCCUGGCCAAGGCCAGUGGCCUAUCUCUCAAAACAACAGGAUGGGGUUUCUAAAGGCUGGCCUCCGUGUCUAACAACCUUGGCAGCAACGGCCCUGUUAGCACAAUAAGCAGAUAAGCUAUCCCUUGGACAGAACCUAAAUACAACAGCCCCUCAUGGGGUGGUAACUCUGAUGAAUACCUAAGGACACCACUGGCUAACUAAUGCUAAAUUAACUAAGUACCAAGGCUUGUUAAUGUGAAAACCCCCGCAUGACCAUUGAAGUCUGUAACACUUUAAACCCCGCCACCCUGCUCCCAGUAUCCGACAGCCCUGUUAAACAUAACUUUGUAGAGGUGUUGGACUCUGUGUAUUCUAGCAGACCAGAUCUUCGAGACCAGCCAUGGGCAUCAGUAGAUUGGGAAUUAUACAUGGACGGGAGCAGCUUCAUCAACUCCCAAGGAAAAAGGUGCGCAAGUUAUGCAGUAGUAACCUUGGAUGAUGUUGUUGAAGCUAAGUCAUUGCCUCAGGGCACUUCAGCCCAAAAAGCAGAACUCAUUGCUCUCACUCGGGCUCCGGAACUCAGCGAAGGUAAGAUUGUAAACAUCUGUACUCAUUCUCGAUAUGCCUUUCUAACCCUUCAAGUACAUGGAGCAUUGUAUAAAGAAAAAGGCCUGUUAAAUUCUGGGGGAAAAGACAUAAAAUAUCAACAAGAAAUUAAGCAGUGUAGAAACCACAAAGGGUUUUGUGCAUUGCAGGGGACACCAGCGAGUUUCCACCUCAGUGAGCCAAGGAAACUCCCGAGCAGACACAGAGGCACGAAAAGCAUCAUCUACUCCUUAUCGGGCAUCAGUCACAGACCCACUACUCCCUCAAACGCUUGGGGAGGUGCCAACUUAUUCUAAAGAGGAAAAAGAUUUUCUUCAGGCAGAAGGAGGACAAACAAUAAAGGAAGGAUAGAUAAAGUUACCAGAUGGAAGAAUAGCUGUGCCACAGCUGCUAGGAGCCGCAGUCGUGCUGGCUGUACAUGAAACUACCCAUUUAGGCCAAGAAUCACUUGAAAAACUGUUAGGCUGGUAUUUCUACAUCUCACACUUGCCAGCUCUUGCUAAAAGAGUAGCGCAGCAAUGCCUUACCUGUUGAUAGCACAAUGCAAAGCAAGGACUCUCUGUGCCUCCUGGCAUAUGAGCCUAUGGAGCGGCUCCUUUUGAAGAUCUUCAAGUGGACUUCACAGACAUGCCUAAAUGCGGAGGUAACAAGUAUUUACUGGUUCUAGUGUGUACUUACUCUAGGUGGGUGGAGGCUUAUCCAACACGAACUGAAAAAGCUCGUGAAGUAACCCGUGUGCUUCUUCAAGAUCUCAUCCCUAGGUUUGGACUGACUCUACGCAAUAGCUCAGAUAAUGGGACGGCAUUUGUGGCUGACUUGGCAUGAAGCCUGCAGCCGCUGAGACCUGGGAUGCCAAACCAAGCAUGAGGAAAAUCAUCGUCGUGAUUUUAAGCUCAUGAAGAAGAGAACUUUGUCUCAUUCACUGCUAUAUCCAAAGAAGAAAGAGCAGAUCCCAGCAUUUUGUAAACACCGAAUAAGUAAUCUGUGAAUGAAUAGAUGAAUAAAAACUGAGUUGUUUUGAGAAA
Non-coding RNA from Macaca mulatta (Rhesus monkey), 2088 nucleotides. NCBI's taxonomy places the organism in Eukaryota, Metazoa, Chordata, Mammalia, Primates, Cercopithecidae. The record is from RefSeq and is a predicted model, not a curated record.